Molecule: ribosomal RNA, 219 nt
Filed under: uncultured bacterium
Lineage: Bacteria
Description: partial 16S ribosomal RNA
Rfam family: Bacterial small subunit ribosomal RNA
Source: RNAcentral
GAUCAUGGCUCAGGACGAACGCUGGCGGCGUGCUUAACACAUGCAAGUCGAACGGAGCACCCUUGAUUGAGGUUUCGGCCAAAUGAUAGGAAUGCUUAGUGGCGGACUGGUGAGUAACGCGUGAGGAACCUGCCUCUCAGAGGGGGACAACAGUUGGAAACGACUGCUAAUACCGCAUGACACAUUCGGGCGGCAUCGCCUGGAUGUCAAAGAUUUUAU